AAACUCAAAGGAAUUGACGGGGGCCCGCACAAGCGGUGGAGCAUGUGGUUUAAUUCGACGCAACGCGAAGAACCUUACCAGGGCUUGACAUCCCCUGACCGCGUAUGAAAGUACGUUUUCACCCUCGGGUGACAGGGAGACAGGUGGUGCAUGGUUGUCGUCAGCUCGUGUCGUGAGAUGUUGGGUUAAGUCCCGCAACGAGCGCAACCCUUAUCAUUAGUUGCUACGCAAGGGCACUCUAAUGAGACUGCCGGUGACAAACCGGAGGAAGGUGGGGAUGACGUCAAGUCCUCAUGGCCCUUAUGGGUAGGGCUUCACACGUCAUACAAUGGUCGGUACAGAGGGUUGCCAAGCCGCGAGGCGGAGCCAAUCCCAUAAAGCCAGUCGUAGUCCGGAUCGCAGUCUGCAACUCGACUGCGUGAAGUCGGAAUCGCUAGUAAUCGUGGAUCAGCAUGUCACGGUGAAUACGUUCCCGGGUCUU
Molecule: ribosomal RNA, 481 nt
Filed under: uncultured Peptococcaceae bacterium
Lineage: Bacteria; Bacillati; Bacillota; Clostridia; Eubacteriales; Peptococcaceae
Description: bacterial SSU rRNA
Rfam family: Bacterial small subunit ribosomal RNA
Source: RNAcentral